CCUACGGGAGGCAGCAGUGAGGAAUAUUGGUCAAUGGCCGGAAGGCUGAACCAGCCAAGUCGCGUGAGGGAAUAAGGCCCUAUGGGUCGUAAACCUCUUUUGUCAGGGAGCAAAGGCGUCCACGAGUGGACGAAAGGAGAGUAACUGAAGAAAAAGCAACGGCUAACUCCGUGCCAGCAGCCGCGGUAAUAAGGAGGAUGCGAGGGUUACCCGGAUUUAUUGGGUUUAAAGGGGGCGUAGGCGGAGUGGCACGUCAGCGGUAAAAUUUAGGGGCUCAACCCCGUCGUUCCGUUGAAACUGACACCGUUGAGUGAGUGAGAAGUAGGCGGAAUGCGUGGUGUAGCGGUGAAAGGCAUAGAUAUCACGCAGAACGCCGAUUGCGAAGGCAGCUUACCGGCGCUCAACUGACGCUGAGGCACGAAAGUGCGGGUAUCGAACAGGAUUAGAUACCCUUGUAGUC
This 460-nucleotide ribosomal RNA is filed under the name uncultured bacterium. RNAcentral describes it as "partial 16S ribosomal RNA". It matches the Rfam family "Bacterial small subunit ribosomal RNA", at positions 338 to 795 of the family's 1533-position model. The record is from RNAcentral.